UUCCAGCUCCAAUAGCGUAUAUUAAAAUUGUUGCGGUUAAAAAGCUCGUAGUUGGAUUUCUGUCGGGGACGACCGGCCCGCCCCCUGGGUGCGUACCUGGUUCGGCCUUGGCAUCUUCUUGGAGAACGUUACUGCACUUGAUUGUGUGGCGCGGUAAUCAGGACUUUUACUUUGAGGAAAUUAGAGUGUUUCAAGCAGGCACAGUCCUUGAAUACAUUAGCAUGGAAUAAUAAGAUAGGACAUUAGUUCUAUUUUGUUGGUUUCUAGAGCUCAGGUAAUGAUUAAUAGGGAUAGCUGGGGGCAUUCGUAUUUAAUUGUCAGAGGUGAAAUUCUUGGAUUUGUUAAAGACGAACUACUGCGAAAGCAUUUGCCAAGGAUGUUUUCAUCG
RNAcentral lists this ribosomal RNA (388 nucleotides) under Pheopolykrikos sp. RNAcentral's name for it is "partial small subunit ribosomal RNA". It matches the Rfam family "Eukaryotic small subunit ribosomal RNA", at positions 583 to 975 of the family's 1831-position model. The record is from RNAcentral. Lineage: Eukaryota; Dinophyceae; Gymnodiniales; Gymnodiniaceae.